CCUACGGGGGGCGGCAGGAGGGAAUAUUGGUUAAUGUGCGAAAGCGCGAACCAGCAACGCCGCGUGUACGAAGAAGGCCUUCGGGUUGUAAAGUACUUUUCACCGGGAAGAGGAAGGACGGUACCGGUGGAAUAAGUCUCGGCUAACUACGUGCCAGCAGCCCCGGUC
RNAcentral lists this ribosomal RNA (168 nucleotides) under uncultured bacterium. Its description in RNAcentral is "partial 16S rRNA". It matches the Rfam family "Bacterial small subunit ribosomal RNA", at positions 338 to 522 of the family's 1533-position model. The record is from RNAcentral.